ACGGAAGGCAGCAGUGAGGAAUAUUGGUCAAUGGACGGAAGUCUGAACCAGCCAAGUCGCGUGAAGGAAGAAGGUUCUAUGGAUUGUAAACUUCUUUUAUUCGAGGGUAAAGUGAGGUACGUGUACCUUAUUGCAAGUAUCGAAUGAAUAAGCAUCGGCUAACUCCGUGCCAGCAGCCGCGGUAAUACGGAGGAUGCGAGCGUUAUCCGGAUUUAUUGGGUUUAAAGGGUGCGUAGGCGGGAUGCUAAGUCAGUGGUAAAAGCGUGUGGCUCAACCAUACCGAGCCGUUGAAACUGGCGUUCUUGAGUGUAAACGAGGUAGGCGGAAUGUGACGUGUAGCGGUGAAAUGCUUAGAUAUGUCACAGAACACCGAUUGCGAAGGCAGCUUACCAGCAUACAACUGACGCUGAUGCACGAAAGCGUGGGUAUCAAACAGGAUUAGAUACCCUGGUA
RNAcentral lists this ribosomal RNA (453 nucleotides) under uncultured Porphyromonadaceae bacterium. Its description in RNAcentral is "partial 16S ribosomal RNA". It matches the Rfam family "Bacterial small subunit ribosomal RNA", at positions 341 to 792 of the family's 1533-position model. Lineage: Bacteria; Pseudomonadati; Bacteroidota; Bacteroidia; Bacteroidales; Porphyromonadaceae. The record is from RNAcentral.